RNAcentral lists this ribosomal RNA (855 nucleotides) under uncultured Gammaproteobacteria bacterium. RNAcentral describes it as "bacterial SSU rRNA". It matches the Rfam family "Bacterial small subunit ribosomal RNA", at positions 61 to 914 of the family's 1533-position model. Lineage: Bacteria; Pseudomonadati; Pseudomonadota; Gammaproteobacteria. The record is from RNAcentral.
GUCGAACGGUAACAGGAUAGCUUGCUAUCGCUGACGAGUGGCGGACGGCCGUGUAAUACUUAGGGAUCUGCCCUUUGGAGGGGGAUAACCAUUGGAAACGAUGGCUAAUACCACAUAAUGUCUACGGACCAAAGGGGGCUUCGGCUUCCACCAGAGGAUGAACCUAAGCGAGAUUAGCUUGUUGGUGAGGUAACGGCUCACCAAGGCGACGAUCUCUAGCUGUUCUGAGAGGAAGAUCAGCCACACUGGAACUGAGACACGGUCCAGACUCCUACGGGAGGCAGCAGUGGGGAAUAUUGCACAAUGGGGGAAACCCUGAUGCAGCCAUGCCGCGUGUGUGAAGAAGGCCUUAGGGUUGUAAAGCACUUUCAGUUGUGAGGAAAGGUUUACGGUUAAUACCCGUAAGCUGUGACGUUAGCAACAGAAGAAGCACCGGCUAACUCCGUGCCAGCAGCCGCGGUAAUACGGAGGGUGCAAGCGUUAAUCGGAAUUACUGGGCGUAAAGCGCACGCAGGCGGUUAUAUAAGCCAGAUGUGAAAGCCCCGGGCUUAACCUGGGAGAGUCAUUUGGAACUGUAUAACUAGAGUCUUGGAGAGGGGAGUGGAAUUCCAGGUGUAGCGGUGAAAUGCGUAGAUAUCUGGAGGAACAUCAGUGGCGAAGGCGACUCCCUGGCCAAAGACUGACGCUCAUGUGCGAAAGUGUGGGUAGCGAACAGGAUUAGAUACCCUGGUAGUCCACACCGUANACGCUGUCUACUAGCUGUUUGUGGUUUUUUAACCGUGAGUAGCGAAGCUAACGCGCUAAGUAGACCGCCUGGGGAGUACGGCCGCAAGGUUAAAACUCAAAUGAAUUGAC